UUUUUACAUUAUUUUAACAGAGGCUUACUGAAGUUUCGGGGUUUAAUCCAGAACAACUGUCCGCACUCGUUUAAGAAUUCAGUAUCAUUUACCAAGAAAUUAAUCUUGUGGUUUUGUUUUGUUUUAAAAAUGGGCAUCCGAAGACACCAUAAAUUUGAAUGUAGUUCCGCGGGACUCAAAAGUCAGACACUCAUAACUUGGUUACCCAAGCCACAAGCAUCCUCCUUCUGUUUUCCUUUCCUCUUCAAACGCAAGCGUUCUCCGAGAAUCAGAAAAUAGCAACUGUGGUAAUGAUCCUUCCGCAGGUUCACCUACGGAAA
This 320-nucleotide unclassified non-coding RNA is filed under the name uncultured fungus. RNAcentral's name for it is "sequence contains ITS1". Lineage: Eukaryota; Fungi. The record is from RNAcentral.